Myotis brandtii (Brandt's bat) is the source of this 1893-nucleotide non-coding RNA. Lineage: Eukaryota; Metazoa; Chordata; Mammalia; Chiroptera; Vespertilionidae. The record is from the annotation of a RefSeq genome assembly.
AUGACACCUCUCUCAGAGAAACUCACCCCAGCCCCCACCACGGCCAGAGACCCAGCUGCCACGGUGCCCAGCAGCCUCGCCGUCCGGGUCCUGGCCACGCAGGGUGCUCACGCCUCUGCCGGGGCGGCCUCCUGGCUCCUGUGCGAGGUGUCGGGCUUCUCGCCCCCGGAGCUGCUCCUCACCUGGCAGGAGGGCCGGCGCCAGGUGGACUCUUCUUGGUUUGCCACCGCAGCGCCCACAGCCGAGCCUGGAAACAGCAUGUUCCACACCUGGAGUGUCCUGCGGGUCCCGGCCACCCCCGGCCCCCCGCUGGCCACCUACACGUGCAAGGUCAGGCCCCCGGCCUCGGAGGCUGCUCAACGCCAGCUGGAGCCUGGACACUGCAGGCCGCCCAUUGUGCACGGCACCCAGACCCUGCCCUGUCUUCGCCCUCCAGGCCCCCGGGGACGGGAUGGGCAUGCUGGGCCAGGCCGUGAGCAGGACACCAUCCAGGCCGCCCAGCGCUCACCUGCCAACCUGUGCUCGGUGUCCACAGCACCACAGGCUGCGCGGGUCAUGGAGAUGGCCCUGCCCCCUGGCCCUGCCCCGCCCCUCUGGGGCCCCCUGAGCAUGCACGAGGACUGUGAUGGCUAUGCUGACCUGGACGAUGCCAGCUGCCUCGGCUUCGUCACCUUCGUCAACGUGAAGGGCAGGGACAUCCAAGGGGCUCGCUGGAGCCGGCCAGGGACUGUGCGGAGCCGGGAAACCCGGGCAGGAGGACAGCUUCUCUGUGGGCGCUCAUGGUCACGUGGCCCCUCUCUUACAGCCCCCACCACGGCCCCGUCGGUCUUCCCGCUGUCCCCCAAAUGUGGCACCACGUCCGGCUCCACGGUGUCCCUGGGCUGCCUGAUCUCUGGCUACUUCCCGGAGCCCGUGACUGUGACCUGGAACUCGGGCUCCCUGACCAGCGGGGUGCACACCUUCCCACCCGUCCUCCGCUCGGGCCUCUACUCUCGGAGCAGCAUGGUGACGGUGCCCACCAGCUCGUCCGGCGAGACCUUCAUCUGCAACGUAGCCCACCCGGCCAGCAGCACCAAGGUGGACAAGAUCGUGCCCGUAAUUGAUAGAACCAAACCCACCUGCCCGCCUCACACGUGCCCACCUUGUGAGAACCCGGGAGGGCCCUCGGUCUUCAUCUUCCCCCCGAAACCCAAGGACACCCUCAUGAUCUCCCGGACACCCGAGGUCACGUGCAUGGUGGUGGACGUGGCCCCGGAUGACCUGGAAGUCGAGUUCACCUGGUACGUGGACAACAAUAAGAUGAAAAAUGAGAAGGUGAAGGCGCAGCAGCAGCUGUUCAACAGCACCUACCGUGUGGUCAACACCUUCCCCAUCUUGCACCAGGACUGGCUGAAGGCCAAGGUGUUCAAGUGCAAGGUCAACAACAAGGCCAUCCCCUCCCCCAUCGAGAGGACCAUCUCCAAGGCCAUAGGGCAAGUCCGGGAGCCACAGGUGUACGUCCUGGGCCCACACUCGGACGAGAUGGCCAGGGACAAGGUCAGUGUGACCUGCCUGGUCAAAGACUUCUUCCCGACGGACAUCAGCGUGGAGUGGCAGAGCAACGGGCGGCCAGAGCCUGAGACCAAGUACUCCUCGACCCCGCCCCAGAAGGACCAGGAGGGCUCCUUCUUCCUGUACAGCAAGCUCACCGUGGACAAGGCCCGCUGGCAGCGGGGGGACCCCUUCACGUGCGAGGUGAUGCACGAGGCCCUGCACAACCACUACACCCAGAAGACCAUCUCCCGGAACCCGGGUAAAUGAGCAGCGCGUCCAGCGCCCAGCGACCCCCCAUGUACAUACCCUCGGGCACCCAGCAUUCAAUAAAGCACCCAGCAUGGCCCUGGGACCCUGCGA